CAAUAGCGUAUAUUUAAGUUGCUGCAGUUAAAAAGCUCGUAGUUGGAUUUCGGGUGGGAAUGGCCGGUCCGCCGUUUCGGUGUGCACUUGCUACGCCCACCUUGCUGCCGGGGACGUGCUCUUGAGUUCACGCUCGGGACACGGAGUCGGCGAGGUUACUUUGAGUAAAUUAGAGUGUUCAAAGCAGGCCUACGCUCUGAAUACAUUAGCAUGGAAUAACACGAUAGGACUCUGGCCUAUCUUGUUGGUCUGUAGGACCGGAGUAAUGAUUAAGAGGGACAGUCGGGGGCAUACGUAUUUCAUUGUCAGAGGUGAAAUUCUUGGAUUUAUGAAAGACGAACUACUGCGAAAGCAUUUGCCAAGGAUGUUUUCAUUAA
RNAcentral lists this ribosomal RNA (377 nucleotides) under uncultured eukaryote. RNAcentral's name for it is "partial 18S ribosomal RNA". It matches the Rfam family "Eukaryotic small subunit ribosomal RNA", at positions 592 to 976 of the family's 1831-position model. The record is from RNAcentral.